RNAcentral lists this long non-coding RNA (382 nucleotides) under Brassica napus (rape). RNAcentral's name for it is "long non-coding RNA (BNAP_LNC002168)". Lineage: Eukaryota; Viridiplantae; Streptophyta; Magnoliopsida; Brassicales; Brassicaceae. The record is from RNAcentral.
GCGAGCCAACAUGUCCUGCACCUGACUACGGAGAAAGAACACCUCGCCAAUCGACCUCCAGUGAGUAUCCACCAAUGGGUCAUUAUUAGGUACGGCUUCAGCACCCGUUGAUGAGGUGGAAGAUAAACCAUUAACCGAUGAAGAAACCCUUGCCAAUCUUGGCGGAGGGGUAUAAAAAGGACGCCUUUUCCAUGUUUUAGCCUUCUGGUGCUCAUCAUAGAUGGCUGACACCGGGAGGCUCACCACGUUUCCUAGAUGAAAGGAACACAAGAAAUAAGAAGACGGAGUCCUAUCAGGUAAAAACUAAAAGGGGAAGGCUUACCCCAAAUACGGCUAUGACGCAAGGCCUCCUUGCUCACCAGAAAAGUCACCCAUCAGAAUC